AUUGAACGCUGGCGGCAUGCUUUACACAUGCAAGUCGAACGGUAACAGGCCUUCGGGUGCUGACGAGUGGCGCACGGGUGAGUAAUGCAUCGGAACGUACCCAGAGGUGGGGGAUAACGCAGCGAAAGCUGUGCUAAUACCGCAUGUGAUCUGAGGAUGAAAGCGGGGGACCGAGCAGCAAUGUUUGGCCUCGCGCCUUUGGAGCGGCCGAUGUCGGAUUAGCUAGUUGGUGGGGUAAAGGCCUACCAAGGCGACGAUCCGUAGCUGGUCUGAGAGGACGACCAGCCACACUGGGACUGAGACACGGCCCAGACUCCUACGGGAGGCAGCAGUCGGGAAUUUUGGACAAUGGGCGCAAGCCUGAUCCAGCAAUGCCGCGUGAGGGAAGAAGGCCUUCGGGUUGUAAACCGCUUUUGGCAGGAACGAAACGGUGUCCGCUAAUACCGGGCGCUAAUGACGGUACCUGCAGAAUAAGCACCGGCUAACUACGUG
RNAcentral lists this ribosomal RNA (492 nucleotides) under uncultured bacterium. RNAcentral describes it as "partial 16S ribosomal RNA". It matches the Rfam family "Bacterial small subunit ribosomal RNA", at positions 29 to 507 of the family's 1533-position model. The record is from RNAcentral.